GGGGUUGUGGCUCAGCGGUAGAGCACUUGCCUUGCAAGUGUAAGACCUUGGGUUUGAGCCUCAGCAUCACUU
This 72-nucleotide transfer RNA is filed under the name Ictidomys tridecemlineatus (thirteen-lined ground squirrel). RNAcentral's name for it is "Spermophilus tridecemlineatus (thirteen-lined ground squirrel) tRNA". It matches the Rfam family "tRNA". Rfam says of the family: Transfer RNA (tRNA) molecules are approximately 80 nucleotides in length. Their secondary structure includes four short double-helical elements and three loops (D, anti-codon, and T loops). The record is from Rfam by way of RNAcentral. Lineage: Eukaryota; Metazoa; Chordata; Mammalia; Rodentia; Sciuridae.